Molecule: RNA transcript, 4116 nt
Organism: Mercenaria mercenaria
Lineage: Eukaryota; Metazoa; Mollusca; Bivalvia; Venerida; Veneridae
Exons: 7
Source: RefSeq, a predicted model, not a curated record
CGCAGUCAAACUUCAUUGUGAGAUCUACAAGUUAACAUGGCAGCAAUGAGCCCUGGACAUACAGGCAAAUGAAGGGAGAAACCACGGAAUUGGUUUCUAUUGAUGCAAGUUCCUCUAAUUGUCCGUUGAUUGAACGAACACAUGUUCAGUUCUGUAAGUGUUUGAAUAAAAGUGUCAGGGAUGUCUGGCAGACGCUUGGUGACAAGAAAAGCUCCCAUUUUCCAGUGUUCCGAUCCUACAUUGGUAUGGAUAACAAACUUCAUUUAGAUACGGAUACGUGCAGAUGGUUGAAGGCCAGAUUUGGUUUGAUAUAUUUAAAAGACGGACUAGCGCCUUUUUGUGAUGACGUUGCAAAACAACAACAAAGGGAAAUAUUGAAUCACAUUAAACAGACAAAGAAGCUAUUGACUGUAACAUGUAGUGAAUGCGAUCUUGGAACCCUCAAACCGGACCAUGAGAAAACUGAUAACAAAUGUCCAUUUGGUCAAAAGUACUGUAACUGCUGCAAAACGGGUUGUAAAAUUGCUUGCCGAAACAAAGUAUGUGGCGCCAUUUAUGACAAAAUUAUAACUAGCCAUGUUACGAAAGCUCCUAACUGGAAAAACACCGACGUUAAGAAGUGGACUAACGAUUCGUGGAGUAUAGCUAAAUGUUUCAUCUACACUGGUGGAUAUGAGCAGAAGUCAUCAGCAGCCGACACUGACUGCGCGGGAUUGCUGCAUGUGAUUAUAAACAACACAUAUUUUCAUGAUCGCAUUGGGUGCAAAAUCACUGGAUCUGAUGUUUUUACAAAGGUGAGAACAUACAGAAACGAGAUAGUCCACACAAGCACCAUGAAACUAGAAAAGGUACGUCUAGAUACUUACAUAGAUGGUAUGAUUGCUGUGCUACAUGAUGGUAAGGAACUGAAAGGAAAACAAUAUGUACAGGACACUGUAAAGAAACUUGAAGAGCUGAAGAAUGAGGAUUUCAUCAUUACCAGCCAAAGAAGGGAAUGCCAAAUAGUUCUUGCAGAUAUGAAAACAUUAAAGAAAAACAUAGAUAAAGGUCUUGAAGAUAUAAACAAUUCUAUAGAAGGCUUAGCAACUAAGGACGCCUGUGAGAAACUCGAAAGACAGAUUUCUACACUAGAAUCUAUCGUGUCUAAACUAACGGAGGGAAGAAUAGUCAUUAUGUUGACCUCCAGAUCAUUCAAGCUGGUAAGGACUACAAGAAAUCAGCCGAGAUCCAUCUCUCUAAGUCUGAAUCUGCCAUUACUGCUGCAAUGAAGAACCUGUUCUUCAUGUCUGACCACAGCCUUCCAAACAUGUUGAUUUCUGACUUCAAUGACCACUGUAUUGACCAGGGUUGUUCCAGCCUGAAGUCCCCCAAGGUCGACAAACAUACCACUUACGAGCACAGUACGGGUGUCCACGAGAUGCAGGAGUGCAUGGUUUCUGUAAUUUGUGAUAAAUUCUUAAGUAACAUAGGGGACUCAAAGUUCAGUAUCAUGGUGGAUGAGUCUACUGAUGUAUCUGUUGAUCAGAAUAUGUUGAUGUAGUAAAGUCAAGUUUCACUUUAUUUAAACUGAUAAAUGGAUUCACAGUCAUUUAUUUAUAGUCAGGUCGUAUAUCGAUGAUCAGUACUCCGUAUUCCGUUGUAUCAUGUUUGUACUCUGUGUUUCGUUGUAUCAUAUUGUAUCGUACUCCGUGUUUGUAUUAUCAUGUUCAGUCGUGCAUUUGAACUUGUUUUGUAGAUAGAAGACGUUUUCAUUGGUCAGUUAUCUUCAUGCACAAAUAACAACUUUUGGCGCGAACUAACAAUUGCACGGCCCUCUAUUCUUCAUUCUUGAGAAUCAUUGUCCGAGUGAACGCAAGUUACUCUAGAACUAUUGUUAUACUGUAGUAAUUUAAUGUCCUUACCUUUGGACAAUUUACUAUGUCAUAAGUGUACCUUUGCUAGUCGAUUCUGGUAAGAUAUUUUCUUUAGUAUUUGUUCUUUUUAAAUGCAAUGAUAACUUAUUUACCGCGAGAGAUCUAUUUUGUGAAAUCUGUAUUUUUCACAUUCUGCUAUUGUUGUAUUGUAAUUCGUAUUUUCUAUGUUCAUGAUUUUACUGUUUUAUGUUGUAGGUUUUUCUCUACACGUACUAUACUGGUACUGUCCAAUAAAUUGAAGAAACCUCAAAAUAGUUGUGUUAUACAAACUACCUAUACUACAUUGAUAUAUGUGGGAUAUUUAGAACAGUCUCUUGGAUCAUUCUCCCCUAAAAGUGUUCUACUAGAUGUGUGCAAACUUAAAGAUGGUGCUACUGCACACCAAUUGAAGUUGUCUGUUUUAGGGUACCUUAAGGACAAGCAACUCAAUCUGAGUAACUUGAUAGGAAUAAGUACUGAUGGUGCAGCUGUGAUGACUGGAAAGAAGAGCUGGUUAGUGCAGCAACUGAAACAGGAAGUUCCCACACUCCUGAGCACUCACUGUAUCGCCCAUCGUCUGGCCCUUGCCAGUGGUCAGGCAGCAGACACUGUGUCAUACUUGCUAAAAUUCCAGGAACUUGUUAAUAGUAUUUAUAAAUAUUUUGACAAUUCUCCCAAGAACAUGUCCCGUCUGGAAAAGAUAAGUGCAAUAUUGGAAGAAUCCAGUGACUGUGUCCGCUUUAAGUAAGUGUUUCACACCAGGUGGCUCAGUUUUGAGGGCAGUAUUAGAGCCAUUUGUGAGAAUUAUAGUUCCCUCAUUAGUGUGUUGGCUGAGGAUAAGGGAGCUAAGGCUCAGGGUCUUCUGAAGAGCAUAUCCACAUAUAAGUUUGUUUACACAUCGCACUUUCUGGCAGAUGUUUUGAAGCAAUUGGGCAUCUUGUGCAAGACUUUCCAAGUCAAGUUCUAUUGAUUUCACCAGUGUCUCUUCAUGUUUGGAAGUCACUGUUGGUGAAGUCAAGAGGCUGACUGAGUCAAAACAAGGCAUGAUGCUCAAGUGUUUCAAAGCAGCUGUUCCAGAGAGUGUUGAUGGCUCUAGUGAGAGUGAGUAUAAGGGCCAUGUAAUUAAGGAUAGUGAGAAGCAGAGAGUGGAGGCAGAGAGGGCAUGUGAGCAGUUUGGGGAGAGAGUGUUGGUGAACUUGGAGGAGAGAUUUGCAGAGGUGGGUGACAGUAAGAUUUUGAGAGGUUUUUGUGGGAUAUUUGAUCCAUCUGUUUUUGUGAGAGAGGGUGAGGUUUUAGAGGAGUGUAUUAGGACUGUGAGUCAGCAUUUGGGUGAGGAAGAUUUUCGAGAGGAGUACAUGCGCUUCAGGGGUGAGGUUAUAGAAUGUUUUGCAGGGGUGGCAAAUGAUGUGAACAGUGUGUGUCAGUUGGCCCUUAGAAAGAGAGAUAUGUAUGAAUGUGUGGCUGAUGCAGCUUACAGACUGUUGUGCAUCCCUGUGUCGAGUGUAGAGUGUGAGAGAGGGUUUAGUGUACGGAACUUGAUAAAAACCAAACUGAGGAACAGACUUGAUACAAGAUCUUUGUAUUUAUUGAUGAAACUUCUAAUUGAUGGUGGUCCAAAGCAUUCAUUUGAUUUUGCAGCUGCAUAUGGUAAAUGGAAGAACAUGAAAAGCAGGAGAAUCUGUGGUUACUAGAACUUUUUCAUGUUCUGCCAUUUACCAAAUGCUGUUGGAAAAUCACAUGAUCAACAUGAUAGUACAAGUAUUCAUGAAAUUGCCAUAUUUCACAUACUUUGCAUUUGUCUAUAUAUUUUUUGAUGCAAUGUCUAAAUCAUGUUUUCAUGGAAAUGAUAGAAUCCAUGUUUUUGGGACUGAGCUACCCAGAAGUAGUGAUUAUUUUUUUUGAAAUUUGUUGAUGUCUAUACAUAUUUCAUUGUUGAAUUUGUUUCCCUUCUUUGCUAUAUGAUAAGCUUUGGUGUAAUGGUCAUUUUGUAAGGGAGCUAACUGAGCUUUGUUUGUACAUUUUUGUGGAAGAGAGACAACUAAAACAUAAACUUGUUUGGUUAAAAUUGUCUCCUAUUAAUGAUUUAGAUUGUUUACAGUGCAGCCUCUCUGAUUGACUACUUAUCUUAACAUGAUAAAUCAAUGUAUAUGUGUAUGCAUCUGAUUGUUGAGUUAUUUGUAGCUUUGUUGAAUGUAGAAAAUAAAAUAAAAAAUACUGAACUGAU